AGCAGCCGCGGUAAUUCCAGCUCCAAUAGCGUAUAUUAAAGUUGUUGCAGUUAAAAAGCUCGUAGUUGAAUUUCGGGGUCAGCAAGUUGGUCGUGCCACCGGUAUGCACUGGCUUUGCUGAUUCCUCCUUCUUGUAGAACCGUAAUGCCAUUAAGUUGGUGUUGCGGGAAAACAGGACUGUUACUUUGAAAAAAUUAGAGUGUUUAAAGCAGGCUAACGCUUGAAUACAUUAGCAUGGAAUAAUGAAAUAGGACGACGAUCCUAUUUUGUUGGUUUCUAGGAUUGACGUAAUGAUUAAUAGGGAUAGUUGGGGGCAUUAGUAUUCAAUUGUCAGAGGUGAAAUUCUUGGAUUUAUUGAAGACUGACUACUGCGAAAGCAUUUGCCAAGGAUGUUUUCAUUAAUCAAGAACGAAAGUUAGGGGAUCGAAGACGAUCAGAUACCGUCGUAGUCUUAACCAUAAACUAUGCCGACUAGGGAUCGGAUGAUGUUAAUUUUUUAAUGACUCA
This 507-nucleotide ribosomal RNA is filed under the name uncultured Glomus. RNAcentral's name for it is "SSU rRNA". It matches the Rfam family "Eukaryotic small subunit ribosomal RNA", at positions 569 to 1078 of the family's 1831-position model. Lineage: Eukaryota; Fungi; Glomeromycota; Glomeromycetes; Glomerales; Glomeraceae. The record is from RNAcentral.